Molecule: ribosomal RNA, 504 nt
Filed under: uncultured bacterium
Lineage: Bacteria
Description: SSU rRNA
Rfam family: Bacterial small subunit ribosomal RNA
Source: RNAcentral
AGGACGAACGCUGGCGGCGCGCUUAACACAUGCAAGUCGAGCGAGAACCGGGACUUCGGUCCUGGGGACAGCGGCGAACGGGUGAGUAACACGUGGGUAAUCAACCCUCGGCACCGGGAUAGCCCGAGGAAACUCGGAUUAAUACCGGAUAGCCCCUCCGACUCUCGAGUCGGUCGGGAAAGGUAGCUUAGGCCUCUGGCCGGGGACGAGCCCGCGGCGGAUUAGCUUGUUGGUGGGGUAAUGGCCUACCAAGGCAACGAUCCGUAGCUGGUCUGAGAGGACGAUCAGCCACACUGGGACUGAGACACGGCCCAGACUCCUACGGGAGGCAGCAGCGGGGAAUCUUGCGCAAUGGGCGAAAGCCUGACGCAGCGACGCCGCGUGAGGGAAGAAGGCCUUCGGGUUGUAAACCUCUUUCAGGAGGGACGAAGCUACUCGGGUGAAUAGCCCAGAGGGUGACGGUACCUCCAGAAGAAGCCCGGCUAACUACGUGCCAGCAGCCGC